UCGAGAAUUUUUGACAAUGGGGGAAACCCUGAUCGAGCGACGCCGCGUGGAGGAUGAAGGUCUUCGGGUUGUAAACUCCUGUCAUUUGGGAACAAGGCGUAUUUAUUAACUGUAAGUACGUUGAUAGUACCAGAAGAGGAAGAGACGGCUAACUCUGUGCCAGCAGCCGCGGUAAUACAGAGGUCUCAAGCGUUGUUCGGAUUCAUUGGGCGUAAAGGGUGUGUAGGUGGCGCGCUAAGUCGGGUGUGAAAUUUCGGAGCUUAACUCCGAAACUGCAUUCGAUACUGGCGUGCUUGAGGACUGGAGAGGAGACUGGAAUUUACGGUGUAGCAGUGAAAUGCGUAGAUAUCGUAAGGAAGACCAGUGGCGAAGGCGGGUCUCUGGACAGUUCCUGACACUGAGACACGAAGGCCAGGGGAGCAAACGG
This 427-nucleotide ribosomal RNA is filed under the name Brucella melitensis. Its description in RNAcentral is "partial 16S ribosomal RNA". It matches the Rfam family "Bacterial small subunit ribosomal RNA", at positions 355 to 775 of the family's 1533-position model. RNAcentral also lists the same sequence under 1 other name. Lineage: Bacteria; Pseudomonadati; Pseudomonadota; Alphaproteobacteria; Hyphomicrobiales; Brucellaceae. The record is from RNAcentral.